Molecule: non-coding RNA, 774 nt
Organism: Peromyscus maniculatus bairdii (prairie deer mouse)
Lineage: Eukaryota; Metazoa; Chordata; Mammalia; Rodentia; Cricetidae
Source: RefSeq, a predicted model, not a curated record
GUGCCUCUUUCUCUUUUCCUGAUUUAGUUAGAGACACUGAAAGUGGAACUAGAUGAAGCAAGGUUAAGUGAAAAGCAGCUGAAGCAGAAGCUGGAUCACCAAGAGGAAGUUCUCACUCGCAAAUCGGAAGAGCUCUGGCUAAUGUCUGGGCAGCGCAUGGGCAAUAGCACGUCUUCAGAGGUGCUGGCUCUUCAGAUUGAGCUAACUCAAAUGGAAGAAUCCUUGAGCUCGAUCUGAUCAUCAGAGAUGAAGAUGGAAACAUACUGGACCCUGACAACACCAGCAUCAUCAGCUUGUUCCAUGCUCAUGAGGAGGCUACUGAAAAGAUCACAGAGCGCAUCAAAGAAGAAAUGAGAAAAUUGAAGUACCUGUACUCAUAAAGAGAUGUGAGGUGCUGCCAUUGGAUAUAACUACCCCAGAAGAAACACCUGCUGCCAGUGCCCCUAGGGAAGAAGUUUCUAGACUGCCACUUCAGAGAGAGGAGAAAGUCCUGCCUUAAUAGCUUCGAUGAUAACACUGUGCAGUGGGGCCAGCCAGCCUCUCCAGCCAUUCAGCCAGCCAGCCUCUCUCCCCAAGAGCCCACCUCUGGACAUGCAGCCAAUGAAGGAGAAGAAAUGUGUGAAGCUUGUGGAUGGUCCAGCCAAUGCUGAGGCCUUACGUGAACAAAAUGGGAACACCCCCAGCUCUCCCAGGUUAACUGCAGAGUCAAAGCUUUCAACAGAAGUGAAAAAAAGGAAAGAAACUACAAGCAAAUUGGAAAAGGGGGCUUGUAAG